GGGCUCGUCGCCGAGCACGGAUUAAGGCGUCGGCCUCCGGAGCCGAAGACCCUGGGUUCAAAUCCCAGCGGGCCCGCCA
Molecule: transfer RNA, 79 nt
Filed under: Thermoproteota archaeon
Lineage: Archaea; Thermoproteati; Thermoproteota
Description: Crenarchaeota archaeon (anaerobic digester metagenome) tRNA-Arg
Rfam family: tRNA
About the family: Transfer RNA (tRNA) molecules are approximately 80 nucleotides in length. Their secondary structure includes four short double-helical elements and three loops (D, anti-codon, and T loops).
Source: RNAcentral